AGUGAACGCUGGCGGUAGGCCUAACACAUGCAAGUCGAACGGCAGCACAGUAAGAGCUUGCUCUUACGGGUGGCGAGUGGCGGACGGGUGAGGAAUACAUCGGAAUCUACUUUUUCGUGGGGGAUAACGUAGGGAAACUUACGCUAAUACCGCAUACGACCUACGGGUGAAAGCAGGGGAUCUUCGUACCUUGCGCGAUUGAAUGAGCCGAUGUCGGAUUAGCUAGUUGGCGGGGUAAAGGCCCGCCAAGGCGACGAUCCGUAGCUGGUCUGAGAGGAUGAUCAGCCACACUGGAACUGAGACACGGUCCAGACUCCUACGGGAGGCAGCAGUGGGGAAGAUUGGACAAUGGGCGCAAGCCUGAUCCAGCCAUACCGCGUGGGUGAAGAAGGCCUUCGGGUUGUAAAGCCCUUUUGUUGGGAAAGAAAAGCAGCAGGUUAAUACCCCGCUGUUCUGACGGUACCCAAAGAAUAAGCACCGGCUAACUUCGUG
This 492-nucleotide ribosomal RNA is filed under the name uncultured bacterium. Its description in RNAcentral is "partial 16S ribosomal RNA". It matches the Rfam family "Bacterial small subunit ribosomal RNA", at positions 29 to 507 of the family's 1533-position model. The record is from RNAcentral.